UUACGGUCAAAUCACGCUGAAAACACCGGUUCUCGUUCGAUCACCGAAUUAAGCAUCGUAGAGCCAGGUCAGUACUUAGAUGGGGACCGCUUAAACACCUGGUACUGUAAG
This 111-nucleotide ribosomal RNA is filed under the name Acanthosepion pharaonis. Lineage: Eukaryota; Metazoa; Mollusca; Cephalopoda; Sepiida; Sepiidae. The record is from RNAcentral.